GCAUGGGUUUGGAUUUUUGACAGGCCCGCUCUCCUAGGCCUCUCGUAGUGCCCCCUGACAGAGCAAACUGUGGCCCUGAACCAUUGCCUGGCUUCUGUGCCUGUGGGCUGCUGGCACUGAAGUGGGUUGCAUGGUG
Molecule: small nucleolar RNA, 136 nt
Filed under: Propithecus coquereli (Coquerel's sifaka)
Lineage: Eukaryota; Metazoa; Chordata; Mammalia; Primates; Indriidae
Description: Small nucleolar RNA SNORA42/SNORA80 family (ENSPCOG00000010928.1)
Rfam family: Small nucleolar RNA SNORA42/SNORA80 family
About the family: The members of this family belong to the H/ACA class of snoRNAs that guide the sites of modification of uridines to pseudouridines. Human ACA42 (SNORA42) was cloned from HeLa cells by immunoprecipitation with anti-GAR1 antibody.
Source: Rfam by way of RNAcentral